Molecule: ribosomal RNA, 490 nt
Filed under: uncultured bacterium
Lineage: Bacteria
Description: partial 16S ribosomal RNA
Rfam family: Bacterial small subunit ribosomal RNA
Source: RNAcentral
AUUGAACGCUGGCCGCAUGCUUUACACAUGCAAGUCGAACGGCAGCACGAAAGAGCUUGCUCUUUUGGUGGCGAGUGGCGAACGGGUGAGUAAUGCAUCGGAACGUACCGAGUAAUGGGGGAUAACUGUCCGAAAGGAUAGCUAAUACCGCAUACGCUUUGAGAAGGAAAGUGGGGGCUCUUCGGACCUCACGUUAUUCGAGCGGCCGAUGUCUGAUUAGCUAGUUGGUGGGGUAAAGGCCUACCAAGGCGACGAUCAGUAGCGGGUCUGAGAGGAUGAUCCGCCACACUGGGACUGAGACACGGCCCAGACUCCUACGGGAGGCAGCAGUGGGGAAUUUUGGACAAUGGGCGCAAGCCUGAUCCAGCCAUGCCGCGUGUCUGAAGAAGGCCUUCGGGUUGUAAAGGACUUUUGUUAGGGAAGAAAAGGAUAGUGUUAAUACCAUUAUCUGCUGACGGUACCUAAAGAAUAAGCACCGGCUAACUACGUG